GUGCAGCAGGCGCGAAAACUCCGCAAUGCGCGUAAGCGUGACGGGGUCAUCCCGAGUGCCGUCCGCUGAGGAUGGCUUUUCUCCGGUCUAACCAGCCGGAGGAAUAAGGGGAGGGCAAGUCUGGUGUCAGCCGCCGCGGUAAUACCAGCUCCCCGAGUGGUUGGGACGAUUAUUGGGUCUAAAGCGUCCGUAGCCGGCUGAGGAAGUUCUCCGUUAAAUCCAACGAUUCAAUCGUUGGGCUGCGGGGAAUACACCUCAGCUUGGGGGCGAGGGAGGGCGGCGGUAUUUCCGGGGUAGGGGCGAAAUCCUAUAAUCCCGGAAGGACCACCAGCGGCGAAGGCGGCCGACAAAAACGCGCCCGACGGUGAGGGACGAAAGCCAGGGGCACAAACCGGAUUAGAUACCCCGGUAGUCC
This 415-nucleotide ribosomal RNA is filed under the name uncultured archaeon. RNAcentral's name for it is "partial 16S ribosomal RNA". It matches the Rfam family "Archaeal small subunit ribosomal RNA", at positions 330 to 747 of the family's 1478-position model. The record is from RNAcentral.